RNAcentral lists this ribosomal RNA (343 nucleotides) under uncultured bacterium. Its description in RNAcentral is "partial 16S ribosomal RNA". It matches the Rfam family "Bacterial small subunit ribosomal RNA", at positions 338 to 692 of the family's 1533-position model. The record is from RNAcentral.
CCUACGGGAGGCAGCAGUCGAGAAUUAUUCACAAUGGGGGAAACCCUGAUGGUGCGACGCCGCGUGGGGGAAUGAAGGUCUUCGGAUUGUAAACCCCUGUCAUGUGGGAGCACAUUAACAAGAUAGUACCACAAGAGGCAGAGACGGCUAACUCUGUGACAGAGGCCGCGGUAAUACAGAGGUCUCAAGCGUUGUUCGGAAUCACUGGGCGUAAAGCGUGUGUAGGCUGUUUCGUAAGUCGUGUGUGAAAGGCGCGGGCUCAACCCGCGGACUGCACAUGAUACUGCGAGACUAGGGUAAUGGAGGGGGAACCGGAAUUCUCGGGGUAGGAGGGGAAAUCGUA